AGGAAUAACCUUGGGAAACUGAGAAUAAUGCCCGACAGAACAUUAUACCUGGAACGGUUUAUGUUUCAAAUGAUUUAUCGCCGUAGGAUGGGACUGCGGCCUAUCAGUUUGUUGGUGAGGCAAUGGCCCACCAAGACUAUUACAGGUACGGGCUCUGAGAGGAGUAGCCCGGAGAUGGGUACUGAGACACGGAUCCAGGCCCUAUGGGGCGCAGCAGGCGAGAAAACUUUGCAAUGUGCGAAAGCACGACAAGGUUAAUCCGAGUGGCUUCUGCUAAAGAAACCUUUUGCUAGUCCUAGAAACACUAGUGAAUAAGGGGUGGGCAAGUUCUGGUGUCAGCCGCCGCGGUAAAACCAGCACCUCAAGUGGUCAGGAUGAUUAUUGGGCCUAAAGCAUCCGUAGCUCGUUUUGUAAGUUUUCGGUUAAAUCCAUACGCUCAACGUAUGGGCUGCCGGGAAUACUGCAUAACUAGGAAGUGGGAGAGGUAGACGGUACUCGGUAGGAAGGGGUAAAAUCCUUUGAUCUAUUGAUGACCACCUGUGGCGAAGGCGGUCUACCAGAACACGUUCGACGGUGAGGGAUGAAAGCUGGGGGAGCAAACCGGAUUAGAUACCCGGGUAGUCCCAGCUGUAAACUAUGCAAACUCAGUGAUGCAUUGGCUUGUGGCCAAUGCAGUGCUGCAGGGAAGCCGUUAAGUUUGCCGCCUGGGAAGUACGUACGCAAGUAUGAAACUUAAAGGAAUUGGCGGGGGAGCACCACAAGGGGUGAAGCCUGCGGUUC
Molecule: ribosomal RNA, 780 nt
Filed under: uncultured archaeon
Lineage: Archaea
Description: bacterial SSU rRNA
Rfam family: Archaeal small subunit ribosomal RNA
Source: RNAcentral